CUCCGGGAGAGCGCGGGAGAGAGAGAGGAUUCUCGCCUCUCCUGUCAUCAUCGUCCCGAGGCCAUCUCGCCACACCAGGUACCUGGUUGCGUCCCGAGGGGACAUCGAGAUAGUAC
This is a non-coding RNA of Caenorhabditis elegans, 116 nucleotides long. The record is from Ensembl. NCBI's taxonomy places the organism in Eukaryota, Metazoa, Nematoda, Chromadorea, Rhabditida, Rhabditidae.